Molecule: unclassified non-coding RNA, 747 nt
Filed under: Penaeus japonicus
Lineage: Eukaryota; Metazoa; Arthropoda; Malacostraca; Decapoda; Penaeidae
Description: uncharacterized LOC122258137, transcript variant X3
Source: RNAcentral
AAUAUUUUGAUAAAAAGGCGAAGGUCAUGUUUUUGUGUGUUUUGGGAGGGGAUAAAUAUGCAUCUUCGAAGGUGAAUUGCACCAUUUCCAGAGGGACUGUUGGAAAGUUGCACGAUGUUCCGUUGCCUUGUUCUCGCAUUGGUUGUCGCCGUUGCAACGGCACAGGAGCCGGCUAAUUGCAGAUGCGGCGCCUUCAUCACUCUUGACACUAUCGAAAAGAUGCUGUACGAACUUCCUCCCAUCGACGUUGGCAGCUGUGACCAGCAUAACAAGUGCCAAAACCGCUGCUUCAAGGAGUUCGAGGCACUGUCUGGAGGAGGUGACUUGGAUUUCAUCACCUCCGACGGCAAGACACCCGUAGGACAGGUCUUGUGCACGGCAACCGGGAAACCAGUCAAUAACGAAUACGUGUACGCCUAUUCGGAGCUCUGCGACGGACCCUGGGAAUGGACAGGUGACCAGACCAAGCAGCCUCUGUGUUGCAACAGGGACGACGAGUACCACCCUUGCUCAUAGUAACGCCCCACGGAGACUGGCACAAGGAGAGGCCGAGAGACGAACCAUUGUCCAAAGGGCCUGACUCGAAGUACUGGCUCGAUGGCUGGGUUUUGUCACUCAAUGGCCUCUGGUGGAUCGGUAGUUACCUGAGUUUCUUGUAAUUUCAUUUCUUUUUUUUUUCUUUUCUUUUGAACUUUCUUUAACAUCGAAAUGAUGGUACGUUUUGGUGGGAAUAAAUUGAGAAGCAAU